GUCUCUAACAAAGGAUCAAUCUUGCUAGCUGAACUUAUAGCAAUACAAAUUGUACUGGAUCACAUAGAAUCUUUUUCAAAAGCGCAAAUUGAUACUUGAACUAUAUUUUCGGACAGUCAAACCGCAUUAUGUAUCUUAACUCUUAAUUGGAAAAGUGACAGCUAUCAUCAAACCAUUAACGAAAUCCAAGGGAAAAUUAAAAAUUUAAACGAACAUGGAAUUUUAAUCAACUUAAACUGGACACCAGG
This 248-nucleotide long non-coding RNA is filed under the name Mytilus galloprovincialis (Mediterranean mussel). The record is from RNAcentral. Lineage: Eukaryota; Metazoa; Mollusca; Bivalvia; Mytilida; Mytilidae.